ACGCAAAUUCUCUUAAGCGCGGAGAACCCUAAACGAGCCUCUUACGUCUACGCAUGCGCACUACCUCUAUAAAAUCCAAACCUCUUCCCCCGCAGCAAGACAGUGAGAAAGCGCGCGUGCGCACUCGCGGCGCAGGAACCGCUACCCAACAACUGUCACCUCCCAAUUACCGUAGAAGAGGCGGUGCGAGCCGCCCAUCAGCGCAGAUGUUUCACUCGCCCGGCCCCACGUGGCUACUCGGCUUCAAGUCUCAAGAGUAAAACUGUAUUUUAGACAGUCACACCGAACCUGUAUUGUUAAGGUUAGGUGUAAAGACUGCAUCCCACUAUUAUCAAUCUUGAGCAGUCUAUUAGGCAUAAAAAUCCAAACCAUCCUUCCGGUCGAAGAAUUCAAUGUCGGACUCGUGCAGAAAUUCCAUCAGGCUAAGAAUGACAGAGUUACAGCCAUCCAUUUCUUCAUCAUUCCUCCAUUGAGAUGGAGGGCCACAAGAGUGUUUGCACUGCCAUCAGCCUGAAUCAAGGGGAAAGAGAGGUUCAUUAGCAGAAUAAGUUGAAGCUACUGUAUUUGUUAAAUUUCUGCCUGAAUAUUUACUAUAAUAGGUGGCAUUUUGAGGAAGCACUUCAUCUCAAAGCAGUGGAAACAGCAGAAUAGGAUGUUCCCUGUGUUCUCCCCCUCCACACACAGAGCAAUAAGAGGUUUGCUGGGAUGAAGAACGAGAGUGCAUUCUCAAGCGACUGCUAAAGCAAUACCUGUUGAAUUUCUGCCAGGACACAUCCAUCCCCAGCCUAAUAUCAAGUUGAAAGACCAAGGCAAAGUACAAGUGCACGGAGCUUAAUUUGUAAAGCCAGCAUAAUGUUAGAGAUGACAAAGUCUUUACUACUACAUGAUGCUUUUUAAAUACACAAGUGAGAAUUGAAA
Long non-coding RNA from Hemicordylus capensis (graceful crag lizard), 918 nucleotides. RefSeq lists it as uncharacterized. The record is from RefSeq and is a predicted model, not a curated record. NCBI's taxonomy places the organism in Eukaryota, Metazoa, Chordata, Lepidosauria, Squamata, Cordylidae. The transcript has 2 exons.